RNAcentral lists this ribosomal RNA (444 nucleotides) under uncultured bacterium. Its description in RNAcentral is "bacterial SSU rRNA". It matches the Rfam family "Bacterial small subunit ribosomal RNA", at positions 97 to 520 of the family's 1533-position model. The record is from RNAcentral.
GGCGUCCGGGUGAGUAACACGUGGGUAAUCUACCCUCGGGUGGGGAAUAACGGAUCGAAAGAUUCGCUAAUACCGCAUAAUGCAGCGGCACCUAAUGGUGAAUAGUUGUUAAAGCGGGGGAUCGCAAGACCUCGCGCCUGAAGAGGAGCCUGCGGCAGAUUAGCUAGUUGGUGAGGUAAUGGCUCACCAAGGCUUCGAUCUGUAGCUGGUCUGAGAGGACGGCCAGCCACACUGGCACUGACACACGGGCCAGACUCCUACGGGAGGCAGCAGUGGGGAAUUUUGGGCAAUGGGCGAAAGCCUGACCCAGCAACGCCGCGUGAGGGAGGAAAUCCUUCGGGAUGUAAACCUCGCAAGCAAGGGAAGAAUGCUUGAGACCUAACACGUUUCAAGAGGGACGGUACCUUGCGUAAGCCACGGCUAACUACGUGCCAGCCGCCGCGG